CACCGCGGUUAAACGGGAGGCCCAAGUUGACAGACAGCGGCGUAAAGCGUGGUUAAGAUACUUACUAAAUAGGGCCGAAUAGUCUCAAAACAGUCAAAUAUACUCGAGACCACGAAGCACAUCCACGAAGGUGGCCCUAACACCCCUGACCCCACGAAAGCCAUAGCA
RNAcentral lists this ribosomal RNA (168 nucleotides) under Coryphaenoides soyoae. Its description in RNAcentral is "partial 12S rRNA". The record is from RNAcentral. Lineage: Eukaryota; Metazoa; Chordata; Actinopteri; Gadiformes; Macrouridae.